GGCAGGUUGAACCUCUAAUUUCGGUGAACUGAGACAAAGUAUGAGCCGGGGAGGGAGACGGGGGGCGUGGCCAACAGCAGAUAAAGGUUCAUGGGGGGCUGGAUCCCAGCUGACACUGAGCGAGAGGUGGGUACACCCUGGACCGGUCGCCAGUUCAACAAAGCCGGAGAGAACCCGCACAGACACAACACCACAGAAACCCAGGGACUCACCCCCAUUCGUCACUUCCUGAGAGGCGAUGACGAAUCCAAAGCCUUCUCCUGGACGCCUCCUCAGCUCCACCUCCACGGUUUUUACUCCUCCUCUUCGGUCCUUCGCCACGGCUCCCA
This is a long non-coding RNA of Larimichthys crocea (large yellow croaker), 329 nucleotides long. RefSeq lists it as uncharacterized. The transcript is spliced from 3 exons. NCBI's taxonomy places the organism in Eukaryota, Metazoa, Chordata, Actinopteri, Sciaenidae. The record is from RefSeq and is a predicted model, not a curated record.